CCAAGGAUCUGGAGAGGCACUGGGAGCUGCCAAUGUCCAGAGACUAUAUGAUACCAAGGCCCCUCUCUGUCCUUCUCAACCUGCUGGUUGAUGGUGAUGAGUUUUCUGAUCUGUAUCCAGGCAGCCUGCUACCACCGCAGAUCCAUCUCUUAUCCCAGCAUAGGAAUUCAAUAAAUUUUAGUUUCUUCGUUCCCACUCUGUGACCAGGCCCUGAGGAAAUCAAAACCAGCUUAUCAUGUGAACAAGGAUCUCUUGGAGUCCUGCAGAAUUAUAAACAACCCAUCCAGGUUCUAGGGGUCACAAUGGGUAAAAACCCUGUAGCCAGAGAUACAGAGAUGGCCCUAUUGUGAGCAGAGCCACCAUCAAGAAAGAUCUCCAUUUCUUCAGGGAGAACCUUGAUGUCCCAGCCAUGGUACACACUUUUCUGUGGACUUUCCUGUGCUUCAAAUACAUCUAUAAUGAGGGACACCAGAUGUGAGGAUGGAACAGACCUCUAAAGGACAAAAUGUUACAUCUGGGAGCAGGGCCACUGAAACCUGUUUCCAUAAAAAAAAAAAAAAAAAAAAAAAAAAAAAAAGCUUAUGUUUGGAUUAGACCAAAUGUGGAUCAAUUAAACUACAAAUUAAAGAGCUUUUGAAUAUCCAUGAAUUACAUUCUUGAUACAGAGUCUUCUUAUCAUGACCACAGGAUGCCUUUUCUGACCCAAAGUGGGGACAACCAUGCAUGAGAUCACUCCAGAAUUAUCUUGGGAACGGAGUUCCUGCCAUCUCCUAAAGCUCCCCAGCCUGCUUCUCACCCAGUCAGUCUGAGGAUUUGAAUGACAUUGAAGCCUUCAGCACUCCCUACCUGCAAUGGCUUGUCUGCAAACAUUUGCCAACUGGCUGAAUUUUUCCUUAGCCUCCAGUGCUGUGUGGACUCCUCAAUUGAUAAUUCAGUGAGAUGGCAGAUUUCCUCAGAAGCAGAAGAAACCAAGAGUUGUACCACCAUAUCAAAGAUCUUCAACCAACAGCAGGGCCAAAGGCCAAGCUUGGAUUGAAAUGGCAAAACUGACUGCCUAAGUCUUUAUAUCAUAAAGGGCAGUGGUUGGCUUCGAGGUAAAAGACAAGAAAUGGUGGCUUCAUAUAUGUGCAUAAAUAUAUGUGAAUUGAAGACUCUAUCCCAAUUUAUUUACCUUUCCAAUUAAUAUCUAUUAAAUGUUUCAUAUAUGCCAGGUGUUGG
RNAcentral lists this long non-coding RNA (1218 nucleotides) under Homo sapiens (human). RNAcentral's name for it is "HSALNT0370151". The record is from RNAcentral. Lineage: Eukaryota; Metazoa; Chordata; Mammalia; Primates; Hominidae.